GCCAGGCAUGGUGGUGUGUGCCUGUGAUCCGAGCUACUUGGGAGGCUGAGGUGGGAGGAUCAUUUGAGCCCAGGAGGUCAAGACUGCCGGAGGCGUGAUCACGACACUGCACUGCAGCCUGGGCAACAGAAUGAGACUCUGUCUCUU
Molecule: unclassified non-coding RNA, 147 nt
Organism: Papio anubis (olive baboon)
Lineage: Eukaryota; Metazoa; Chordata; Mammalia; Primates; Cercopithecidae
Rfam family: Metazoan signal recognition particle RNA
About the family: The signal recognition particle (SRP) is a universally conserved ribonucleoprotein. It is involved in the co-translational targeting of proteins to membranes.
Source: Ensembl